Molecule: transfer RNA, 63 nt
Filed under: Rhinebothrium sp. 3 DJM-2021
Lineage: Eukaryota; Metazoa; Platyhelminthes; Cestoda; Rhinebothriidea; Rhinebothriidae
Description: tRNA-Asp
Source: RNAcentral
GCAAUCUUAGUUUAAUUAAAAAUAGCAGUUUGUCUCACUGCUGAUGGCUUUUGCUAGGUUGCU